This 497-nucleotide ribosomal RNA is filed under the name uncultured bacterium. RNAcentral describes it as "partial 16S ribosomal RNA". It matches the Rfam family "Bacterial small subunit ribosomal RNA", at positions 28 to 507 of the family's 1533-position model. The record is from RNAcentral.
GAUGAACGCUGGCGGCGUUCCUAAUAAAUUCAAGUCGAGCGAACGGACGAGAAGCUUGCUUCUCUGAUGUUAGCGGCGGACGGGUGAGUAACACGUUGAUAACCUACCUAUAAGACUUGGAUAACUUCGGGAAACCGGAGCUAAUACCGGAUAAUAUUUUGAACCGCAUGGUUCAAAAGUGAAAGACGGUCUUGCUGUCACUUAUAGAUGGAUCCGCGCUGCAUUAGCUAGUUGGUAAGGUAACGGCUUACCAAGGCAACGAUGCAUAGCCGACCUGAGAGGGUGAUCGGCCACACUGGAACUGAGACACGGUCCAGACUCCUACGGGAGGCAGCAGUAGGGAAUCUUCCGCAAUGGGCGAAAGCCUGACGGAGCAACGCCGCGUGAGUGAUGAAGGUCUUCGGAUCGUAAAACUCUGUUAUUAGGGAAGAACAUAUGUGUAAGUAACUGUGCACAUCUUGACGGUACCUAAUCAGAAAGCCACGGCUAACUACGUG